This 359-nucleotide ribosomal RNA is filed under the name uncultured soil bacterium. RNAcentral describes it as "bacterial SSU rRNA". It matches the Rfam family "Bacterial small subunit ribosomal RNA", at positions 26 to 390 of the family's 1533-position model. The record is from RNAcentral.
AGAUUGAACGCUGGCGGCAUGCCUUACACAUGCAAGUCGAACGGCAGCACGGGAGCAAUCCUGGUGGCGAGUGGCGAACGGGUGAGUAAUAUAUCGGAACGUGCCCAGUCGUGGGGGAUAACGCAGUGAAAGCUGUGCUAAUACCGCAUACGAUCUAUGGAUGAAAGCGGGGGACUCGCAAGAGCCUCGCGCGAGUUGGAGCGGCCGAUAUCAGAUUAGCUAGUUGGUGGGUAAAGCCCACAAGGCGACGAUCUGUAGCUGGUCUGAGAGGACGACAGCCACGACUGGAACUGAGACACGGCCAGACCUCCGUACGGAGCAGCGAGUAGGGGUAAUUUUGGACUAGUCGGGACGACGAG